UACGAAGGGUACGAGCGUUAUUCGGAGUUACUGGGCGUAAAGAGCGUGUAGGCGGCUUGUUAAGUUAGAUGUUAAAUUCCCCGGCCUAACUGGGGGCAAGCAUCUAAGACUGGCGGGCUAGAGUUCAAGAGAGAGAAGUAGAAUUCCCGGAGUAGCGGUAAAAUGCGUAGAUCUCGGGAGGAAUACCGAUGGCGAAGGCAGCUUCUUGGCUUGUAACUGACGCUAAAGCGCGAAAGCGUGGGGAGCAAACAGG
RNAcentral lists this ribosomal RNA (253 nucleotides) under uncultured bacterium. RNAcentral's name for it is "partial 16S ribosomal RNA". It matches the Rfam family "Bacterial small subunit ribosomal RNA", at positions 524 to 776 of the family's 1533-position model. The record is from RNAcentral.